Molecule: ribosomal RNA, 404 nt
Filed under: uncultured bacterium
Lineage: Bacteria
Description: bacterial SSU rRNA
Rfam family: Bacterial small subunit ribosomal RNA
Source: RNAcentral
GGGGAAUAUUGCACAAUGGGCGAAAGCCUGAUGCAGCAACGCCGCGUGAGUGAUGAAGGCCUUCGGGUCGUAAAGCUCUGUCUUCGGGGACGAUAAUGACGGUACCCUGAGAACAAGCCACGGCUAACUACGUGCCAGCAGCCGCGGUAAAACGUAGGUGGCUAGCGUUGUCCGGAAUUACUGGGCGUAAAGGGCGUGUAGGCGGGGGUGCAAGUCAGGUGUGAAAUACCGCGGCUCAACCGCGGGGGUGCAUCUGAAACUGCAUCUCUUGAGUGCCGGAGAGGAAAGCGGAAUUCCCAGUGUAGCGGUGAAAUGCGUAGAGAUUGGGAGGAACACCAGUGGCGAAGGCGGCUUUCUGGACGGCAACUGACGCUGAGGCGCGAAAGCGUGGGUAUCAAACAGGA